Molecule: long non-coding RNA, 350 nt
Filed under: Homo sapiens (human)
Lineage: Eukaryota; Metazoa; Chordata; Mammalia; Primates; Hominidae
Description: non-protein coding lnc-ZNF813-3:4
Source: RNAcentral
GGGAGACGGGCACGGGGCUUCUGACGGUGACGCACUUGCUGGAGAGUGUGGGGUGACACAGCCGGGCUCUCCCCAUAACUGGUGACCGGGGGUGCUCCAGAGGCUUUGGGUCAACGCAGCCCGUGCCUGUGAACCUCGGCGGUGCGUCCCUGGGACUCUGCUCCGUGAGGUAUGGCAGGUGUUACCCUUCCGGUUCUGUUUUCCCCAGGCCAGCAUCCUUCAGAAAAAGCAUCCCCGAGGAGGAAGACGAAUCGUUAAACAUCUGAAAGGGUCAGGUGAGUAUCCUUUUUUUUUUAUAUUAAAUGAUAUGUGUUUAUAAGACUUAAGACCAAACAUUAAAGGUAGAUGAC